UAAUUAUACGGGUCUGUCCUUUUGUUUUCUUUUAUUCACAUGCAUCUACGUACGAUAUAAUCUCUGUGGUCUAAAUUGCAUUCACAUGGCCUAAGCUGAGCUAGGUUCCAAUGAUCCCAGCUCAUCAAUUAAAAUCAUGAAUAUACCAUGAAAGUGGGAGCUAGCUAACUAAGGAUACACAUACGUAUAUGUAUAUACGUGUGUCUGUGUAAGCUGAGGUAUAACCGUAUAAAACGAAGUAAUUAGAAUGUAUGUUAAUCCAUCGAGUUCAAGGUUGAUCUGGCAAUGAAUGUGAGGUAUAUGCAAGGGACUGUUCACUCGACAAGGGUUUGCAUGGAAUUUGACACCCCGUGCCUUCGAUCAAUUAGUACUCUACUACUACUACCAGCGCGGUCACCUGUUUUAUAAUCCAUACCCUACAAUAUAUAUAUGUUCCAGAUUGAGGAAAAUAGACCAAACGGCAAAUUAAGUAAGAGAUACCAAAUGGCUACUGGUAACAACAGAGUUGAUCUCCAUGCAUGCAUGUCUGGCAUGAAAUACAAGAAAUCUGGAGGUUUCCUGCAGCCUGCACAAGUUUUCCUUCAAAUGCAAGUAACGAUGAAACUAUUCAAUGCCCGGAUGAAGCUAGUAUGCGGAUUUAGAAGAGUAAUUGUGAAACAAAUCAAGUCAGAAAGUUCCCAGCAGAGAGCUAAGUAAAUUGGGUGUAUACAGUAGCUGCUACAAUUGCGUCUCCGAAUCCUUUCUAUCACGAUGACUCUUUGUUCAGAAGGACGUACAGAUUCCACGCAUAUAAUGGAUAAUGUAAACAAAAAUACAACAUAUAUACCGUAAGUAUCGAUC
Fragaria vesca subsp. vesca is the source of this 840-nucleotide RNA transcript. RefSeq lists it as uncharacterized. Lineage: Eukaryota; Viridiplantae; Streptophyta; Magnoliopsida; Rosales; Rosaceae. The record is from RefSeq and is a predicted model, not a curated record. The transcript is spliced from 2 exons.